This 832-nucleotide long non-coding RNA is filed under the name Anas zonorhyncha (Eastern spot-billed duck). Its description in RNAcentral is "lncRNA (ENSAZOG00000004745.1)". Lineage: Eukaryota; Metazoa; Chordata; Aves; Anseriformes; Anatidae. The record is from RNAcentral.
CCCCUCCCUGCUUCUCUCCCAAGGCACCUGGCUGAAGUGCAGCUGCUGCAGAGCAGCCAGAAGAAGGAGAUCGAGGAGCUGUACCUGCGGAUGGGGAAGCAGCCCCCGCUGGGCAUCGUCUCCCCCGCCGCCAUGCUCUCCAGCCGCCAGCGCCGCCUCUCCAAGGGCAGCUUCAACCCCUCCCGCCGCAACAGCCUGCAGCGCCUCGAGCUGGGGCAGCCCCAAGGGAUCAUGCGGCGAAACUCGCUGAGCGGCAGCAGCACCGGCUCCCAGGAGCAGCGCGUGAGCAAGGGGGUGACCUUUGCGGAUGAUUUUGGCCGCAUGUAGGCAGCCGGCUGGGAGUGACUUCGUGAACUACCUCAACCAAGUGCCUGCUGCCCCGCAGGGGGGGGAGCCCCCCACGCCUCCUGGGGAGCAGCCAGCGGGGUCUCUGCCUUGGGGGGGCCCAGCCCCAAUCCUUCCUCGCCCUGCCAGGGCCGGGCUGGCAGCACUCUGCUCAUCCCUAUGUGUCCCCGUCCGCUCCUGUCCCCUCCCAGCUGUGGGAGGGAGCAGGGCACUGGGACCCCCCGCAGCCCCCCGCGCCCCGCCGCGCCUCGUCCUGGCUCCCCGAGCAGAACCCAGCCUGCUCCGUGCCCCCGUUACACCGCCUCCUCUGCCUUACUCCACCUCGCCGUCCUCCAGCCUCGCCCCCGCGGCACAAAGCGGCGCCUUCCCCUCCCCGAGCCCAAAGCAGCGCGGGGGCCGUGCCCGAAAAACAAUGGAAGCGGGGGCUGCGGGGGGCGGGCUGCGGGUGAAUUUUGUUACAAACCCACAUCUGGGAAGCGUUUCAUAA